AGAGACAGCAGCCGCCACGGUAAUACGUAGGUGGCAAGCGUUGUCCGGAAUUAUUGGGCGUAAAGGGCUCGCAGGCGGUUUCUUAAGUCUGAUGUGAAAGCCCCCGGCUCAACCGGGGAGGGUCAUUGGAAACUGGGAAACUUGAGUGCAGAAGAGGAGAGUGGAAUUCCACGUGUAGCGGUGAAAUGCGUAGAGAUGUGGAGGAACACCAGUGGCGAAGGCGACUCUCUGGUCUGUAACUGACGCUGAGGAGCGAAAGCGUGGGAGCGAACAGGAUUAGAUACCCGUGUAGUCCCUGUCUCUUAUACA
Molecule: ribosomal RNA, 309 nt
Filed under: uncultured bacterium
Lineage: Bacteria
Description: partial 16S ribosomal RNA
Rfam family: Bacterial small subunit ribosomal RNA
Source: RNAcentral